CCUGCUCAAUGACAUAAAUAGCCGCAGCUCAACUGUGCUAAGGUAGCAUAAUCAUUAGCCUAAUAAUUAUAGGAUAGAAUGAAAGGCAUCACGCGUAAAUCACAUCUCACUAAUACAACCUUAAACUAAUAUUUAAGUAAAAAAGCCUAAAUAAAAAUAAAGGACGACAAGACCCUGUCAAACUUAACUCAACAAGUUAAACUGGGGCGGUAAAUAAAACAAACCUUAAUUACAAAUCUUCUUCACCCCCUAAAAAAUUAUACAAAAAGUUACUGCAGGGAUAACAGCGCAAUAAAUUUCAAAAGACCCUAUCCAAAAAUUUCAUUACGACCUCGAUGUUGAAUUAAUACCCUUUUCAGAGCAACCACUAAAAAAGGAAGUCUGUUCGACUUGUAAAAAAUUACGU
Molecule: ribosomal RNA, 406 nt
Filed under: Brignoliella sp. TE002
Lineage: Eukaryota; Metazoa; Arthropoda; Arachnida; Araneae; Tetrablemmidae
Description: partial 16S ribosomal RNA
Rfam family: Archaeal large subunit ribosomal RNA
Source: RNAcentral